RNAcentral lists this long non-coding RNA (579 nucleotides) under Coturnix japonica (Japanese quail). Its description in RNAcentral is "lncRNA (ENSCJPG00005019519.1)". The record is from RNAcentral. Lineage: Eukaryota; Metazoa; Chordata; Aves; Galliformes; Phasianidae.
GGCUGCAGAUUACAAGAACUCUCCGAGGCAGCAGUUUGUACUGAAAGUCUCCCCCAAAACAACUUACCUGACGUAGAUGCAGAGGGCUAAAUGCAUGGAGUUCAAAUGAUUUCUUACUGAGGACGUCCAAAUUUUGCGUGUUCUAAAGUACUGCAAUUGCUCAUGGCCCAGCUGCUGUCCCAGGUGACCUGAAGUCCCAUGACAGCCAUCUAUAUUCUUCUGUGGAGAGAAGAAUGCAACCUGCACAGGGUUUUUAAAUGCUUCUCAACUACCUCGAUGGCUCGAAUACUUCAAAUCCAGACCAACUUGAACAAUGUUACCCAAGAACAUCCAGAACACCUGGACAGCGGGGAAGUUUCUGGCGAAGGUAGCUGGGAUGCAACUAUUGCAAUCAGGAAGACAAGGCAAUCAGUUUUGUGUGAGCUUUCCUUCAGGGACGUGACAAAAGAAGUGCAUUGGGAAGUGCCACCCCUGAUUUUUGUUCAGCAGACAUCCUUCAUCGCUUCUCUCUACAGUGCAGUCAACCCAAAGCCCACUGAAAAAAAAAAAAAAAAAAAAAAGCAUACCCAAAGAAACUAA